This 606-nucleotide ribosomal RNA is filed under the name Pseudomonas sp. RNAcentral's name for it is "bacterial SSU rRNA". It matches the Rfam family "Bacterial small subunit ribosomal RNA", at positions 100 to 702 of the family's 1533-position model. Lineage: Bacteria; Pseudomonadati; Pseudomonadota; Gammaproteobacteria; Pseudomonadales; Pseudomonadaceae. The record is from RNAcentral.
GGACGGGUGAGUAAUGCCUAGGAAUCUGCCUGGUAGUGGGGGAUAACGUUCCGAAAGGAACGCUAAUACCGCAUACGUCCUACGGGAGAAAGCAGGGGACCUUCGGGCCUUGCGCUAUCAGAUGAGCCUAGGUCGGAUUAGCUAGUUGGUGAGGUAAUGGCUCACCAAGGCGACGAUCCGUAACUGGUCUGAGAGGAUGAUCAGUCACACUGGAACUGAGACACGGUCCAGACUCCUACGGGAGGCAGCAGUGGGGAAUAUUGGACAAUGGGCGAAAGCCUGAUCCAGCCAUGCCGCGUGUGUGAAGAAGGUCUUCGGAUUGUAAAGCACUUUAAGUUGGGAGGAAGGGCAUUAACCUAAUACGUUAGUGUUUUGACGUUACCGACAGAAUAAGCACCGGCUAACUUCGUGCCAGCAGCCGCGGUAAUACGAAGGGUGCAAGCGUUAAUCGGAAUUACUGGGCGUAAAGCGCGCGUAGGUGGUUCGUUAAGUUGGAUGUGAAAGCCCCGGGCUCAACCUGGGAACUGCAUCCAAAACUGGCGAGCUAGAGUACGGUAGAGGGUGGUGGAAUUUCCUGUGUAGCGGUGAAAUGCGUAGAUAUAGGAA